Molecule: transfer RNA, 76 nt
Filed under: Nonlabens ulvanivorans
Lineage: Bacteria; Pseudomonadati; Bacteroidota; Flavobacteriia; Flavobacteriales; Flavobacteriaceae
Description: tRNA-Val
Rfam family: tRNA
About the family: Transfer RNA (tRNA) molecules are approximately 80 nucleotides in length.
Source: RNAcentral
GGGCGCUUAGCUCAGUUGGUUCAGAGCACUUGGUUUACACCCAAGGGGGUCAGGGGUUCGAAUCCCUUAGCGCCCA